Oryzias latipes (Japanese medaka) is the source of this 298-nucleotide long non-coding RNA. RefSeq lists it as uncharacterized. Lineage: Eukaryota; Metazoa; Chordata; Actinopteri; Beloniformes; Adrianichthyidae. The record is from RefSeq and is a predicted model, not a curated record.
AAAAAUGUGCAAUAAAGUUUAUUGGGGGAAAAAAAGGCCCCCAGAAAAGCCUUUAGGUGAGGCAAGCCUCACCAGCAGGGGGCAGACGUGAGCUGACAGCUGCUUUGUAGCUACACUGGUGCCGCAGAAGAAGACUAAGAACGUCUUUCUCAUUUGAGAGGGAGAAACUCAUAAAAUAAAGGAAAAAAUCGGUGCACGGAUACAAAAAUGAUGUCCUGUCCACCGGUUAUUGAGCUCCUGAACCUGUGGCCUGCUCUGAAAAUAGAGUCAGAGGUGUAUGCAGAGUUUCAGGGGAUUA